This 547-nucleotide ribosomal RNA is filed under the name uncultured bacterium. Its description in RNAcentral is "bacterial SSU rRNA". It matches the Rfam family "Bacterial small subunit ribosomal RNA", at positions 355 to 896 of the family's 1533-position model. The record is from RNAcentral.
UGGGGAAUAUUGCGCAAUGGGGGGAACCCUGACGCAGCCAUGCCGCGUGAAUGAAGAAGGCCUUAGGGUUGUAAAGUUCUUUCGGUAUUGAGGAAGGUUGAUGUGUUAAUAGCACAUCAAAUUGACGUUAAAUACAGAAGAAGCACCGGCUAACUCCGUGCCAGCAGCCGCGGUAAUACGGAGGGUGCGAGCGUUAAUCGGAAUAACUGGGCGUAAAGGGCACGCAGGCGGUUAUUUAAGUGAGGUGUGAAAGCCCUGGGCUUAACCUGGGAAUUGCAUUUCAGACUGGGUAACUAGAGUACUUUAGGGAGGGGUAGAAUUCCACGUGUAGCGGUGAAAUGCGUAGAGAUGUGGAGGAAUACCGAAGGCGAAGGCAGCCCCUUGGGAAUGUACUGACGCUCAUGUGCGAAAGCGUGGGGAGCAAACAGGAUUAGAUACCCUGGUAGUCCACGCUGUAAACGCUGUCGAUUUGGGGGUUGGGGUUUAACUCUGGCGCCCGUAGCUAACGUGAUAAAUCGACCGCCUGGGGAGUACGGCCGCAAGGUUA